GUCUGUGGCCAUACCACCCAGAACGCACUCGAUCUCAUCUUAUCUCCAAAGCUAAGCGUGGUUGGCCUGGUUAGUACUUGGAUGGGAGAAAACUGUUAUCCUACCUU
Molecule: ribosomal RNA, 107 nt
Organism: Gorilla gorilla gorilla (western lowland gorilla)
Lineage: Eukaryota; Metazoa; Chordata; Mammalia; Primates; Hominidae
Source: Ensembl